GAUGAACGCUAGCUACAGGCUUAACACAUGCAAGUCGAGGGGCAGCAUGGUCUUAGCUUGCUAAGGCCGAUGGCGACCGGCGCACGGGUGAGUAACACGUAUCCAACCUGCCGUCUACUCUUGGACAGCCUUCUGAAAGGAAGAUUAAUACAAGAUGGCAUCAUGAGUUCACAUGUUCACAUGAUUAAAGGUAUUCCGGUAGACGAUGGGGAUGCGUUCCAUUAGAUAGUAGGCGGGGUAACGGCCCACCUAGUCUUCGAUGGAUAGGGGUUCUGAGAGGAAGGGCCCCCACAUUGGAACUGAGACACGGUCCAAACUCCUACGGGAGGCAGCAGUGAGGAAUAUUGAUCAAUGGGCGAGAGCCUGAACCAGCCAAGUAGCGUGAAGGAUGACUGCCCUAUGGGUUGUAAACUUCUUUUAUAAAGGAAUAAAGUCGGGUAUGUAUACCCGUUUGCAUGUACUUUAUGAAUAAGGAUCGGCUAACUCCGUG
This 490-nucleotide ribosomal RNA is filed under the name uncultured bacterium. RNAcentral's name for it is "partial 16S ribosomal RNA". It matches the Rfam family "Bacterial small subunit ribosomal RNA", at positions 28 to 507 of the family's 1533-position model. The record is from RNAcentral.